Molecule: long non-coding RNA, 2260 nt
Organism: Lynx canadensis (Canada lynx)
Lineage: Eukaryota; Metazoa; Chordata; Mammalia; Carnivora; Felidae
Source: Ensembl
AUGAAAAUAAUAGAUUUACCUGGUAUAGUUUCAUCAUUGGAUUUGUCUUUGCCAGAACACCAUUGUCAUCUUGUGUUGAUCAGGUCUUCUAAUUUGUCAUUUGUAUGUUACUAUACAUAUAUGUCAGAAGCUGAAUUAUUUUUUAAUAAAUUCACUUUGUUUAGUAAGGAAGAAAUCUUUUCUAAAUAUGAAUUAUAUGAGGGGGAAAUGUAAGUGGCAGAACUUUCUGCAGAGUCACUGGAGUGUUGGCAUGGUAGAAAGUUAACCUGCCUGUUACCUUUUCAUUAAUAGUUUUCUCUCCUCCCAGGAUCCUUCCAUUUCCAAAUACUCAAUUGGACAAACUUUAUAUAAAAGCCUUCGGUGCCAGGCCCACUAGUUUUCUUACAAAUCUUGACUCUGAAUCCCUGAAAGAGGAAGAAAUUCACGAGAGAGAACUGCAUUAUUUUAUAAGAGGGAAAUCCAUCUUAGCUGAAGGAGCUAAUAUGAUGUAAAAAGCAAGCAAAUAAUAAAUCCUUGCCCUAGUCUUUUUUCAAUGUGUGUAUAAUUUGAAAUAACUUUUUUUUCAAAGAAUAUUUAUACAGUUUCUCCUAUUCCUGUCUCUCUUAUUCGUGUAUCUCUGCUUGAGCUGCACUAAUGAUGUGAAUCCUGAAAUAAGGAAGUGAAACGUUGAGUGUUCUCACAUAAUUAUACCCAACUAGCAUGAAAUAAUACCUAAUUUGUUUUUCUUUCUCCUCCAUCUUUACCCUAAAUCUAGGAGAUCUCAUUUUACCAAAUCACUGUCUGGGAAUUUAAGUGGGAAAUGGUUUCUGUAUCCCAGCUAAUUAAACCCUGAAAUUGUUAGCAGCAAAGCAAUUCCGAAAGGCAAAGGUGGCUACAAGUGUAAGAUGAGUUCCCUGAUCAAACACAGCAAAACAAAGAACAGUUAGAUUCAACAACAGAAGCAUCGCUAGAAUGAAAAAAUGUGAUGAGAUCACAAAACCUGGCACCCCAACGCCACCAAGAGCCCAGGGAGCAAGUGGGAAAGUUGCAUUCCCAAGAAAAUCACUUGAAACCAGGGAGGCAGAAUGUUCUCUUUGGCCAUUUGCUACCAGGUCAUCAGGAACACGGAGGACCUUGAGCCAGCUAGAAAGGAGCAUGGUUUGGAAGAGGAGCUUCUAAGAAUGACAAGAAAAAAAGAAUGGUGACUCCCAUUAGGAAAUCACCUGUACCUUCUAAUGGAGAGAAGAAAUACCUUUAGGAUUUUAGACUGAAGGACAGUGAAGAGAGCUGGUAUAGCUCAGGGAUCCUGCAGACUGUGUCAUACCCUGUUCCAGUCAAGGACAGGAGCAAGCUAAUGGAAUUUCCACCAUAACUUUCAUUCAUUAACUACUUUUAACUCCCUCUCUUUCUGCAAACAUCUGAUUAUCUAUACUGAGGCUAAAUAGGUACUGACUGUGCAAGCCUAGGCUAAAAUUUGUUCAUUGUGGUAAGAAGCGCCAGAGAACAGUUUAAAGCAGGUUUUCCUCAGUCAUUUCAUAACUCAAGCAGCGUGUACACUAAAACAUAAACCUGAAAAUUUAAUAACAUGAGAAAAACCCAGCCAACAUGAAAUAAAAGUAAUUAUUGGAGGAUCUCAGUAAGUUAUUUUUUUCAUUUCUUUUUCUUCACACCUCAGUGGGAUAUAAGUCCAAAAGGAUUUUAGGCAAUUUAUUAAAAACAUUAUUACAAUGGCAUAAAAGUAAAUAGUUGAGGAAAUAAGUAUGACGAUGAAAGUAACGAAAAAGAAUAAAACCAGGAAUAAAAUCAAAAAUAAAAGUUCUCCUCAAGAUACUUACACAGAUGCUUAAAGGUAUAUAGUAUGACAUAGUGGGGAAUUUUCCUGUAGGCUACCUAAUGGAUAAGGCCACUGAUUUAAAAAUCAAAUAAACUUGGGUUUGAACCCUAUUAUUGCCAUUUACAAGAUGUGUAACCUGUAUCCUGACUUGUAAAAUAGAGAUGAUAUUUACUCCAAGGGAUGUUUGGAAGGAUUAAAUUUAAAUGACGCAUGAUGCCUUGAUAGAGUAAGCACUCAAUAAUUUGUAGCUAUAAGUAAAUGCAUACAAUUAGGAAUUUAAGUCAUUUUCUUACACAGUUGACCCUUGAACAACACAGGUUUGAACUGCAUGGGUCCACUUACGUGUGAAUUUUUUUUUGUAUAAGUACAAUACAGCUCUGUACUGUACAGUGUAUUUUCUAUUCCUUGUGAUUUUCUUAAUAAAAUUUUGUCUAGCUUCAUUGUUAA